This 425-nucleotide ribosomal RNA is filed under the name uncultured bacterium. RNAcentral's name for it is "bacterial SSU rRNA". It matches the Rfam family "Bacterial small subunit ribosomal RNA", at positions 357 to 774 of the family's 1533-position model. The record is from RNAcentral.
GGGAAUAUUGCACAAUGGGCGCAAGCCUGAUGCAGCCAUGCCGCGUGUGUGAAGAAGGCCUUCGGGUUGUAAAGCACUUUCAGCGGGGAGGAAGGCAAUACGGUUAAUAACCGUGUUGAUUGACGUUACCCGCAGAAGAAGCACCGUCUAACUCCGUGCCAGCAGACGCGGUAAUACGGAGGGUGCAAGCGUUAAUCUGAAUUACUGGGCGUAAAGCGCACGCAGGCGGUAUGUCAAGUCGGAUGUGAAAUCCCCGGGCUCAACCUGGGAACUGCAUUCGAAACUGGCAGGCUUGAGUCUUGUAGAGGGAGGUAGAAUUCCAGGUGUAGCGGUGAAAUGCGUAGAGAUCUGGAGGAAUACCGGUGGCGAAGGCGGCCCCCUGGACAAAGACUGACGCUCAGGUGCGAAAGCGUGGGGAGCAAACA